UAAGGCACGCGGUGAAUGCAAA
Molecule: microRNA, 22 nt
Filed under: Mus musculus (house mouse)
Lineage: Eukaryota; Metazoa; Chordata; Mammalia; Rodentia; Muridae
Also listed under: 2 other names
Description: piRNA piR-mmu-49631563
Source: RNAcentral